This 88-nucleotide non-coding RNA is filed under the name marine eukaryotic metagenome. Its description in RNAcentral is "Cyclic di-GMP-I riboswitch". It matches the Rfam family "c-di-GMP-I riboswitch aptamer". From Rfam's summary of the family: GEMM was predicted in a large-scale screen for bacterial structured RNA regulatory elements. Genes associated with GEMM are involved in a diverse array of functions, including chemotaxis regulation, signal transduction, secretion and chitin. The record is from RNAcentral.
UUGAAAAAGGCAAACCUUUGGAAACAGGGGGACGCAAAGCCAACGGGGCCAACUUUUUUGGAGGUUUUUAGGCCGGCCGGGUUGCCAA